RNAcentral lists this long non-coding RNA (521 nucleotides) under Triticum aestivum (bread wheat). RNAcentral's name for it is "long non-coding RNA (TAES_LNC007763)". The record is from RNAcentral. Lineage: Eukaryota; Viridiplantae; Streptophyta; Magnoliopsida; Poales; Poaceae.
GUUUUUCUCCAACUCUCCAUCCAAUCGACGCUGAUCGGUCGCCGGCUCGUCGCCGGCAGAAGACAUCCGUGUCUCCCUUGCAGGAGGUAUGUUCUCAUCUCCCUCUCUUUCUCUGAUCUCUCUUCUCCAUCUCCUUCUCUGAAUUCUGUACGUAGGUGUUUUAGGUUCAGAUUUUAAGAUUAGAUCAGUUUGACGAAUCUGUUUUCCUAGUCUCCUCCUUCUACCGUGCAGAUCGGCCAUGUCUAUUAGGUCUUCUUCAGUUAGAAGUGACGCAGGUAGUGGAGGUAGCGUGGAUGCAGUCCAUGUAUUGGCUGCUGCUCGUGUGAUUCCGGAAGAUGAUAAUGAGAAGAAGCCUUUGUGUAGGUACGUCCAGAUGUUGGAAAAUACUGGGAAAGGGAAAGGAGGCAACAAGAGAUCCAUGCAGUAUUUGUUAAGCAAUUGUGAAGACUUCAAUUUUUUUAAUAAAACAGUGCAUUUCCUAAAAAAAGACUCGUUAUUUUUUCAUAUAUUUAAUAAUUAAU